Molecule: small RNA, 83 nt
Filed under: Zea mays
Lineage: Eukaryota; Viridiplantae; Streptophyta; Magnoliopsida; Poales; Poaceae
Description: Zm_70
Source: RNAcentral
AUCGCAUGUGUAAGUCAGGUGGCAGCGUGAGACCCUUCCCCUUCUGGGGUGGAUGAGCUGACACAGUUACACGCCUGCGAGAU